Molecule: ribosomal RNA, 480 nt
Filed under: uncultured bacterium
Lineage: Bacteria
Description: partial 16S ribosomal RNA
Rfam family: Bacterial small subunit ribosomal RNA
Source: RNAcentral
GACGAACGCUGGCGGCGUGCUUAACACAUGCAAGUCGAGCGGAAAGGCCCUUUCGGGGGUACUCGAGCGGCGAACGGGUGAGUAACACGUGAGUAAUCUGCCCCUGGCUUUGGGGUAGCCACCGGAAACGGUGAUUAAUACCGGAUACGACCACUUCUCGCAUGGGAUGGUGGUGGCAAGCUUUUCGGACAGGGAUGUGCUCGCGGCCUAUCAGCUUGAUGGUGAGGUAAUGGCUCACCAUGGCUUCGACGGGUAGCCGGCCUGAGAGGGUGACCGGUCACACUGGGACUGAGACACGGCCCAGACUCCUACGGGAGGCAGGAGUGGGGAAUAGUGGACAAGAGGCGGAAGCCUGAUCCAGCAACGCCGCGUGGGGGAUGACGGCCUUCGGGUUGUAAACCUCUGUCAGCAGUGACGAAGCGAAAGUGACGGUACCUGCAGAAGAAGCACCGCCCAACUACGUGCCAGCCGCCGCAGUAA